RNAcentral lists this ribosomal RNA (849 nucleotides) under Capnodium coffeae. RNAcentral describes it as "mitochondrial SSU rRNA". It matches the Rfam family "Bacterial small subunit ribosomal RNA", at positions 369 to 1217 of the family's 1533-position model. The record is from RNAcentral. Lineage: Eukaryota; Fungi; Ascomycota; Dothideomycetes; Capnodiales; Capnodiaceae.
CAAUGGCCUAACGGCCGAACCAGCAAUUUGGGGGAAUGAAAGUAUAUAUAGUUGUAUAUAUACAUAUCGACUACGUCGAAUAAAGUUCUAGAUAGGAAACUGAUAAUGACAAUAUUCUAUCUAUAUGUCUUGACCAAAUCUUGUGCCAGCAGUCGCGGCAAUACAAGGAAGACUAGUGUUAUUCAUCUUUAUUAGGUUUAAAGGGUACCUAGACAGUACUUCUAGCCUCCAAAAGGUACAGAUUUACUAGAGUUUUAUAUGAGAGGUAAAUAUUAGGAUCAUUGGUGUAAAGAUAAAAUUUUUUGAUACUAAUGGGAGGGAUAACGGUGAAAACAACCCUUUAUGUAUAAACUGACGUUGAGGGACGAAGGCUUGGGGAGCGAAUAGGAUUAGAUACCCUAGUAGUCCAGGCAGAGAAUUAUGAAUGUUAUAGAUUAAAUAUUUAAUUAGUGUAUAAAUGAAAGUGUAAGCAUUCCACCUCAAGAGUAAUGCGGCAACGCAGGAACUGAAAUCAUUAGACCGUUUCUGAAACCAGUAGUGAAGUAUGUUAUUUAAUUCGAUAACCCUCGAAAAACCUUACCACAAUUUGAAUGAUAUUUAUUAAAAUAUUACAAGCGUUGCACGGCUGUCUUCAGUUAAUGUCGUGAGAUUUUGGUUAGAUCCAGUAAAUUAACGUAAACCCUUACUUUUUUUUAUGCUUAUUUUUCUAUUUUUUAUUUAAUAUAUAGCUAAAGCUAUAUGAGCAAUAUUAAAUACGUUAGGUAAGUAUUAAUAAAGUAGUUCACCGCUACACUGGAUGUGAUAAUAGGGACUAAGACAAGUCAUCAUGACCUUAAUAUUGUGGGCUAU